GGCCCCGUGGCGCAAUUGAAUAGCGCAUCAGAUUUCGGCUCUGAGGGUUGGGGGUUUGAAUCCCUCCGGGGUCAC
RNAcentral lists this transfer RNA (75 nucleotides) under Arenibacter certesii. Its description in RNAcentral is "tRNA-Arg". It matches the Rfam family "tRNA". From Rfam's summary of the family: Transfer RNA (tRNA) molecules are approximately 80 nucleotides in length. Their secondary structure includes four short double-helical elements and three loops (D, anti-codon, and T loops). Further hydrogen bonds mediate the characteristic L-shaped molecular structure. tRNAs have two regions of fundamental functional importance: the anti-codon, which is responsible for specific mRNA codon recognition, and the 3' end, to which the tRNAs corresponding amino acid is attached (by aminoacyl-tRNA synthetases). tRNAs cope with the degeneracy of the genetic code in two manners: having more than one tRNA (with a specific anti-codon) for a particular amino acid; and 'wobble' base-pairing, i.e. permitting non-standard base-pairing at the 3rd anti-codon position. RNAcentral also lists the same sequence under 1 other name. Lineage: Bacteria; Pseudomonadati; Bacteroidota; Flavobacteriia; Flavobacteriales; Flavobacteriaceae. The record is from RNAcentral.